Labeo rohita (rohu) is the source of this 226-nucleotide long non-coding RNA. RefSeq lists it as uncharacterized. Lineage: Eukaryota; Metazoa; Chordata; Actinopteri; Cypriniformes; Cyprinidae. The transcript is spliced from 3 exons. The record is from RefSeq and is a predicted model, not a curated record.
AUCUUCAGUCCUUUAUUUCAUUCACUGGAGAACAUCACAGCCUUCAGAUGUGUCAAAUUAGGAUAAAUGCAACUGCAGGACUCGUCGGGCCCACCCAACUACAGAUUCACCCAGGAUCCAGCUGAUCACUGCCAAUUUGAAGGAAGAUUGUCCUUUAUCUGCUACAUUGCACUCUCACUUCUGAGGCUGUUAAGAAGACUGCACUGAUGUCAAAGAUCAACCAGCA